Molecule: long non-coding RNA, 3436 nt
Filed under: Mus musculus (house mouse)
Lineage: Eukaryota; Metazoa; Chordata; Mammalia; Rodentia; Muridae
Description: predicted gene, 48027
Source: RNAcentral
AUUUUUAAGGCAGACCAUUUAGUUGUCUUUUAGUAGUAACUUCAUUAACUUUGGAAUGUUUAUUGUUACAUAUGAAAUUAUAUGUAUGAAAUCCGGUUGGAGUUUGAGAAAUUAGGCUCAGUUGUUUCUACUGGUGGUUUUAUCAAGGGAGUCCUUGUGGUUUUUUUAGGAAAAAUAUAGUUGUCAGGCUUUAUAGUUAAAUUUAUUCUUGGAGAAGAGAUGUGUCUUAUGGUCAGGUACCCACUGAGUACUAUGAGUCCUUCAGUUUGGUCCCUGUUGUCACCUCUACACAAACACAGUGCUUAAUGUUUGGGGGAAGUUCUAAGAAAACGUUUCAAAUUCUCGUAUCUUAAUAGCAUACCUCUUGUUCUGUUGUAACAGCAGUCAGUUCUGCAAGUGUGACCUGAUCUGAUUGCCUUUCUAAUUUGAGGAAAGUAUAAUAAAUUAUAAUUAUAAUUUAUAAAUUAUAAUAAUUUAUACUUUGAUAUAUUAAAGUAUAUGUAUGACUUUUAAAACACUGGGAAGAAUAUGUCAACUUAAGUCAGGAAGGAGCUCAGCGACUGAACUGGUCACUAAGGUAGUAAAGAUAUAGGUUUCAGAAUUUCUCCUUACCAGUGCUGUGAAGUGUGGUUGUUCUGAAGCAUAGACCUUGCCAGAUGGUGCAUGGUACCCAGAAUGUUGUCUGUCCUCACAGUUGUUGGCUCUUCUGUCUUUAUUGUAUGGAAGUUCUCUCAUUGACAGGUUGGCUGAUAGUAGAAACCUCAGAUUUUUAUGUGGGAAUAUUUUAUUCAGUGUUAGGCAGUUUUCAUCUUACUAAAUAAAGGUGUUAAGGUGGUCUUGUUCUUCCCUCAGGUGCAUGCAAACUUAAAUAUACAUUAUGGAGCCUGAAGGCUGAGCCCCCUACAGGGGCAGAGAGGCUUGCUGUCUCUCAGCUGUCCUUUCCAUUCUCUUUCCGAGUUACUUUGCUGGUUUCCACACAGAAGCAAUUUUUCCUCUUGCUUAUAUUAAGUGCUUGAAAUUUCAUGACUGAUGAAUAGGAUUUAGGCAUUGUCCAGAUUUCACAACAUUCAGGCUCAAUUAUCUUUACUAAUUGGCUUCCUAAGCAAAAGCAUAGAAAAUAUGGAGGAAAUUAUUUCACACUUUAAGUGCAACUUUUUAUAAAACCAUAUUUUCUGAUUUUUAAGAAGAGAUUGACUAUAAAGAAAAGCAGAGUUUUGUUAGUGUUUGGGUUGCAGAAGGUAGAAAGAAUAUUCAGUAUUUCAGUUUUGAAAUUGACAGAAAGAAAGGAAGAUUUUAAGUUGAGGCAUUCAGAUUUGUAAUGACCCAGGAAGGGAAGUGAGACCUGAUCCAGCAAGUCAUACUGACGUUAUUAAGACAGAUGCCGUCUGUUCUGACCUCAAGCAGUUCUGUGCUAAGAACUUUUAAAAGAAGAAUCUAACAAUCUGGAUGAAGACCUCUGGGGUGGAUCUGCAUACUUCUGCAGCAUAGAGGACAGGACGGUACUUCAGCACAUUUAACAGUUAAUCUUAGUGAGCAUGACAAUGUUCCUACUGUUCUCAGCAGUAAUUACCAAAGAGUGCCUUAGUGAUAAACCAGCAAAAACUAUUGUUGUUGUUGAUGUUUCAUCAUGUCUGAAACUGAUACAGAGGACUACAACAAAUCACCAUCAGUUUAUUUUCUGUGACUUUAGGGGUCUCCAGUGUUAUUGUGUACACUAACAUGUAAGGAAACGUUAGACAUGAAGCUUUAUGCAUAGAGGUUCAUGAGAAUGGCUUUAUUGGCAUUCACGCUGUUCACAAUAAGCAGGCUUUAGCACUUUGUGUAUGAAGCUAUUUAUGUCUAUUUUAUCCGAUUUUCUGUAAGAAAAAGGAAAUAAGAAUAUUUUAGUUUUUAAAAGUGUUAUUGUUGAUUUCUGUAUUUUUCUUUCUCCUCAGAUGCAUAAAUUUAAGUAUUGUUCAUAUCCCAGUUUAUAGUAUAAAACAUGUUAACAAAAAUUAUAUAAGCAUUGGAGAGUGUUCUUUGCCACAACAAGGAAGAAUGAAAAGUUUUUUAUUUAAAUUUACUUCAAGUAAAUUUGGAGCUCUUGAACCCAAACCACAAAUGAUAUAAUAGCAGUAGUGAGUUUUUCUGAUACAGUGAUUGUAAGUUACUGCUAACUGAUAGAGAAUCACCAUGCAUAGGAGGCUUGGAGUGGGUUAAAUCAAUGUACGAAUGAUUUUUAAUCCUUCCAAAAAUAACAUGCAGUCUAGAAAAAUAAAUACAAAUAAAAUUAAUGGCUUAAAAUUAAAAUUACAGUGCUUUUGAAAAUAUGGCUUUGUAAAAUUUUAAGAAUUAUAUUCCUGUGGGUGGUCUAUAACUUGGAGUUACAGAGGGCUGUGAGUUGCCCAACAUGUGUGUCAGGAACUGAGCUUGGAUUCUCUGGAGGGAGUAGUAUGCAAUUUUAACCACUAAGCCAUCUCUGUAGCAUCACUGACUUGUGAUAUAUAGUACAUGAACCUUAAGUGAGCCCUUAUUCCCUUUUUUUUUAAUUCCUUUUUUUUUUUAAAUUCCUUUUUUCUGUUCACUUUCUUAUUUUUUUAGCAGACUAUUUUACAUUCUGUUUUUUAAUUACCACUCCCCUGCUUUCCUGUCCUCACUUUCAGCUGGUAACUUGAAUUUUACAUCUGAUUGGAAAAUUGAAACAAGAAAAAAUAUUUUACUGAUUUAUACUAAUUUCUUGCUUUCACCUACAAUCAGGCUGUGUAUUUGUCACCUCUAGUCAUAAGUUAAUAUCAUGCUCCUGUCUAGAUGUUGUCCUGUUUUCUCAUUUAUGGGUAAGCCCACUCAGAUAGCCCCUCGUCCCAUAUUUUUAGUAUAGUUAUCUAUCAGGGCUACUGGGUUUGGCAUCCUGUCUUAACCAGUAAUGUUACAUCCAGCUGGUCACUCCUAUGACACUCCGCUUGUAUCUGGCUGCCGCAGCUGCAUCUGUUUGCUUUUUUUGUUUUUUGUUUUUUCUCUUACUUUUCUACCCUUAAUUAUCUUGUGCUUUAUUUCUUAUUUGUAUUUGGAAAUUUUCUCUUUAAUUUUUUGUUUUGUCUUCUGCUAACUACUGUAGUUUGUUACUUUAUGUUGCUGUUUUCCUAACUAAUCAUAAUAAUAUGAUUCAUAUAAUGGCGUUCUCAGGGCUCAGGAGUAUAACUUCUCUUUAGAACACUGAGCUAGUCUUUGUUAGCAACUGAGAGAUUCAGUUCCAUUGGGAAUCCUCAUUUCUUAGGACUUUCUUUUUUCUCUUGUUCUUUUAAAAUUACUGAACUGUUCCUUUUCAGCUUAGUUUUCUAGUUCUUUUUUUAGACUAGUCUACCCUUGUUUUGUUGUACCUGAGUGUAUUCCAUUUAGUGGAAUUAGUGUGCUGAGGAAACCAUGCAAAAUCAUCAUGUUCUUGCUUUGAGAUUAUUGU